This is a long non-coding RNA of Columba livia (rock pigeon), 2349 nucleotides long. RefSeq lists it as uncharacterized. Lineage: Eukaryota; Metazoa; Chordata; Aves; Columbiformes; Columbidae. The record is from RefSeq and is a predicted model, not a curated record. The transcript has 3 exons.
UGCUGAUGAAGUUCCUCUAAACAGAUCAUGAUUGUUUUCUCUAAGACAUCACAAAUGUGAAACUUGCAAUGUUUGCGAAACAGUCUCUGUGGUAAACGAAAUGAAACUUAUUUGCCGCUCUGUCAAAACGUGCUUUUCUGGGAGUAUCAAUAAAAAGAGAAUGGAGAAGAUGCUUAGAGCACUACAAUUAGAGACUUUUUCAGAAGAUAUAACAAUGUUCAAUUCUGUAGCUUUGGCCAAUAGAUGAUCAAAAUUGCAUGAAAGCAGCAUUAUAGAAUACAAUACUAUUAAAAAUAUUCUUUUAAAGAUUGGUGUUAGACAUUCAGUAACACAUCAUACCAAAACCUGCUGAACAAUUACAGAUUCAAAAUUCACCAUAGACUAAUAAAUCCACUUUAAACCCUUUAAUACAAACCCAGUACUUUCAAAGGGCCUCCCUAUGACUACUGGAAUUCAUCUUCUGUCAGGGCUCUGAGAGCACCACCAGUCACUGAUUGUCCUCAUCAGCAUCAUCUGGGACCUUCACCCAGGCAUUGUCUGCCCAUUGGCCCAGGAACCGCAUUUAAGCUCAGGCCCUUGCUGGUGUUCCCUUUCUGAGCUGCUUGUUCAUGUGUUUAGGCUCAGCUGGUACCUUGCUGGUUGGGAUUUGCCCUCAGACCUGUCUGUUUGCUCAGGACUUGCAUGUUGACUGCCAGGCCUGCUCUGUUCCACACCGCUUGCCUGGGUGCUGCAGCCUUGCUGGUGCUAUCUCUUCACAUCACUCAUGCAAUUAAUGGAUUCUAACUCAGCUCAGAUUUGUCAGGUUGACAAAGGCUUCUUUGAUCUGCAAAGGGCAAACAUGCAUCAUUGGAAAGACUGCAGGGAAACCAAGAAACUGCUCAAGGCCAGCAACUGUGAUACUCCUGUUUAGUCAUCUCAUUAAUGAGAAGGUGGUGAAUGUUACGACUAUUUCCCAAAAUAUUGUGGUACAGGUGUUUGAGGAAACAAUUUUCUUAAAAAGAAAAAAAGCCUUUGUUGAACUGCAAAUUCAAGAAAUGGACACCAUAAUUUUGUGUCUUGAAGUAUCCCAUUAGAGCGGGCAAGAACAGUGCCUGCUGGAGUCCUGUCUUUUAGAGAAAGAUGAUUAUAUCAUUGGCUGUGCUCAUGCACUAUAGCUUAGGUUUUAUAAAGGUGAAAUACAGAGCAUUUGAAUCCCACAAAUUUGAAGACUAACAGCAUUUUAAUAUUCCUUGCAAGACCUCCUGACGUACACAAGGUGUCAAAGAAAUGGCACCUUAGAACCUACCUCUUUGGCAACAGUUGUCCUGUAUAGGUGCCCAACUGGAAUAACCAGACUGAGAAAUGAUGAUGGACCUCUUCGAAAAUAUCAAAGUGAAAUAUUUACUGAACACGCAUCAGAGGCUUUGGUAUCUGGGUCAUGGUAAUGCUUCGAUCUUCUGGUACUGUGUCAUUCUUUUAUCACGCAUACUCUAUUAAUGCUUUGCCUUACACUGUGGCUUUGUCUUACGCUUCUUGUAAAGCUUUCAAUUUGUUUUAAAUCUGAUUGUAACUGGGUUCACUCCGUGUGGCUAUUAUGAGGGGGGGAGCUAUAAACCACUCAUGUCAAACUGUGUUAUCCUUUAGGCAUGACUAUUAUUUCUGCUUUCAGGAUGUUAAGAAUGUGUUUGUGUUCCCUAUGUACUGUUUCAGCUUGUGAGUGAGCCACAAAACCCAGUUUGGAUUGAAAAAGCAAAUGUUCUAGUUCUUGCAUUGUUAUGGUUAGGUUUUAAAAGACCUUCUUUGGACCCUUUGAAAAGUUUAAAUAUAGUGGUUUUUUACUCUUUGUUCUUUGACACUCAGAGGCUCAGAGUUUUGCAUGUCUUCUGAACAAAAUAAAAACUGGUCUUUGGACUUUUUAGAUCCAUGGCUCAUCUGAAAGACUUGGGCUGUCAUUUAGCAUGAACAAAUGUACAUAUGAGAAAUAACAUUCUGUCUCUAAGGUCCUCCUGCAGUUAAUCAGACACCGUCUGCUGUGUGCCAUUCCAAUCCUGCUGUGAGGGUUGGAUUCACUCACGAAAUAAGGAAUCCUGCAGACACUUGCAUAAUAGGCAUCUUAAAUUCUCUUCAGAUUACCUUCCUGCUCUUUGUUGCUUUCUCUUGUAUGUGGUCAGAGAGCACCUGGUUGUGUUUCUGUUAUGAUCUCGGUCUUUCCCUGUCCUUGAUGACAACACACAAUCUCUAGGCAUCAUCUAGGCAAUCCUACUGGAUUUGGCAAGAGCUCUCUGUACUUCUCCAGUGUCUCUGUAUUUAGGUAUCUGUAUGGCAAUGAAUAAAUCCUAUACAUAGGAGUUUAGAAAGAUUCAGUGUCUG